Long non-coding RNA from Cyprinus carpio (common carp), 1682 nucleotides. NCBI's taxonomy places the organism in Eukaryota, Metazoa, Chordata, Actinopteri, Cypriniformes, Cyprinidae. The record is from Ensembl.
AGGCUUUGUUAUUGUUCUCUUUUUGUUCCGACACUGGCCCCUCUGUUUCCUCUACCUCCGGGUCCCAAGAGGCCACGCCGCUCUCGUUCCCCUCUUCCCUUGCCAGUUUCCACACAGAGCCGGCUCGAGAACACAUUGCCUUCUCAUGCCCUCUUUGCCACUCGGAAUCAGACGAGUGCUUGCACUCUGCCCCCGCUAAGGGACGCUAUGCCUCCCAUGCCGGGGCUGUCUGUUCCGCCUCGCUGCCCCACUGUGGGUACGCCUGUAGUUCCCUUGACCCCGCUGGAUCGGUUUCUGGGAGCCUGGCUAGAGCUCCCCAGGCUGUCCCGCUGGCUCAUCCGAAUGAUCAGGCUUGGCUACGUGAUUCAGUUCACUCUUCACAGACUUCCGUUCAAGAUGCUAACGCCCAAGCGCAUUUUCGAAUGCAUUCGUCCAUUGGAUUGGUUUGCAGCAAUCGACCUGAAGAACGCGUACUUUCAUGUCUCCAUUCUUCCUCGACACAGACCAUUUCUUCAUUUUGCUUUCGAGGGGCAGGCAUACCAUACAAGGUUCUCCCAUUCGGGUUGGCCCUGUCUGCCCGUAUCUUUACAAAAGUCACGGAGGGAGCCCUGGCUCCUCUCAGGGAACAAGGUGUCCGUAUCCUUAACUACCUCGACGACUGGCUGAUUCUAGCUCACUCUCGAGCAUGGUUGUGCAAGCACAGGGAUCUGGUGCUCAGACACCUCUUCCAUCUGGGUCUUCGGGUCAACUGGGAAAAGAGCAAACACUCCCCUGUGCAGAGGAUCUCUUUUCUCGAUAUGGUAAUAGACUCGGUCGCCAUGUUCGCGCAGCUUAUGAGCGAGUGCGCGCAGUCACUGCUGAAUUGCCAGAGUCAAUUCGAGGGCAAGAGAGCGGUUCCACUGAAACUGUUUCAGAGGCUCCUGGGGCAUAUGGCGUCUGCAGUGGCAGUAAUACCGCUCGGGUUGCUCCAUAUGAGACCGCUUCAGCACUGGCUUCACGACCGAGUCCCGAGAUGGGCAUGGCAACAGGGCACGCUCCGAGUGACCGUCACUCCGGCCUGCCUCCGAAACCUUCACCCCGUGGUUGGACCUCUCAUUUCUACGGGCUGGCGUUCCCCUAGAACCAGUGUCCAGACAUGUUGUUGUGUCAACAGAUGCCUCUGCCACGGGCUGGGGUGCCAUGUGCAACAAGCAUGCUGCGUCAGGUUCCUGGACAGGACCGCGACUUCAGUGGCAUGUCAAUUUCUUCGAGUUGCUAGCGGUACGGCUUGCUCUGCACUGCUUCAGGGCCCUGCUGAAGGACAAGCACAUUCUGGUCCGUACGGACAACACUGCAACUGUAGCGUACCGUCAGGGUGGUCUACGCUCCCGCCACAUGUCGCAACUUGCCCGGCCUCUCAUCUUAUGGAGUCAGAAGCAUCUGAGGUUGCUUCGUGCCAUUCACAUUCCGGGCAGGCUCAAUCGUGCAGCCGACGAGCUUUCACAUCAGCAGUCUCGCCCCGGGGAAUGGAGACUCCACCCCCAGUUGGUUCAGCUGAUUUGCGAACACUUCGGAGACACUCAGGUAGACCUGUUUGCCUCUCCAGAAAAUUCCCACUGUCAGUUGUUUUACUCCCUGACCGAGGGCACCCUUGGCAGGGACGCUCUAGUGCACAGCUGGCCGCUGGGCCUGCACAAGUAUGA